UCCCGACACUAAGGGAGAUAACAACGUUUUACUGAUGUAAAACUGGUUCCCGUUAAAAAAAAUUAGGAUAUAUCGCCUAUAUAUCUAGGUCACGGUAACAGUUCCAAUGUCGUCUGUUGACAACGUGUGUAAACAACUUCUAAGUUACAGCCCAUCGCUCAGAAGAAAGGAAGGUUUAUCAGAAAGGAUAAAUGCAUGCGUUCUUUUAAAAUAAAGAAUAUGAAUAGCUUCAACUUGAAAGUUCACACAGUCUUAAAUGAUUCUCAACUUAUAAGAUCAUAUGAUAUAAGUUUUUGGAAGUUGGAGAAAUUCGGCGUCCGAUCACAGACAGUGACUCUCCGUUUGACGAAACCUGGAAAGAAGGUCGAAGGAUAGCUCUAGUUGAUCACCUAGUGCAGAAUAAGUUCGUUAAGAUAUAAAACUGUCCCCUGCGGAUACUGUCUGUGAACGGAAAUACGACCGUCAAGGCUUGGACCAGGAGCCGAGGCGGAGGCCGUGGAGCAUUUUGUCCAUACCAUAUCGUUGUAGCUGCAGUGAAUGUAACCUGCUUAUCAUACAUGUGUAACAGUGUUGAAACGAGGAGAGAAAUGGAACUGGUGAAUUGUUAUCAAUUCAAAAGCUGUACAUGGAAUGAUACAUGCAGGAAUUUGUGCCACACAUUUCAACAAUUUCCUUAAUGGAUUGAAUGUACUUUAUGUGAAUUCAUCAGCCAUACUUAAAAAGAAAAAGGAGAAUGAAACUGUAAAGAAAAUAUUUGCAGUUGCAAAAGAAUGCUGUAAAUAAAUUCAAAAGAAGAAACAGUUUUAAACAUGGUUAAUUUAAUGAAUAAUUGGAAGGUUGAAGCUAGUUUUGUUGCAGAAUGGCAAAUGUUUGGUACUGGUUGAAACUAUGAAAGUGAUACAGGUCCCAUGGUAAUCAUUUAACAGCAGGUUUUUAACAGCAGUUAUGCAGAAAAAUGAAGGAUGGCUGUCAAUGGUAAAUGCAGCAUCAGAAUAUUCCCCAGGAAAGUUUACCCAGAGAGUUUGGGAAAGUAUGAAUAAGAAAUUAGAGAGGGAAACACUUACAGAUAACCAGAAAACAAAGAUUUUAAAAGAAAAGAAUUGCAACUAAUAGUAAUAUGAUAUAUCUGACUGGGAGCAACAUGUACUAUUCAAUAUAGAAGGAUUGACAAUUUUGACUGAGAACAAAGUGAACUUUAAUAAUGCUAUGACUAUCAAUCAAUACUUGACUGAAUCAGAGGAGUAAACUAUUUACAUAUUUGUAAAUAUAAAAAUUAUAUGUUUGCUUGAUUAUU
Mytilus trossulus (common blue mussel) is the source of this 1294-nucleotide long non-coding RNA. RefSeq lists it as uncharacterized. NCBI's taxonomy places the organism in Eukaryota, Metazoa, Mollusca, Bivalvia, Mytilida, Mytilidae. The transcript has 5 exons. The record is from RefSeq and is a predicted model, not a curated record.